RNAcentral lists this ribosomal RNA (305 nucleotides) under uncultured bacterium. RNAcentral's name for it is "bacterial SSU rRNA". It matches the Rfam family "Bacterial small subunit ribosomal RNA", at positions 567 to 872 of the family's 1533-position model. The record is from RNAcentral.
GCGUGUNGACGGUUUGUACAUUCAGAUGUGAAAUCCCCGGGCUUAACCUGGGAGCUGCAUUUGAUAUGUGCUUACUAGAGUGUGAGAGAGGGUUGUGGAAUUCCCAGUGUAGAGGUGAAAUUGGUAGAUAUUGGGAAGAACACCGGUGGCGAAGGGGGCAACUUGGCUCAUUACUGACGUUGAGGCGCGAAAGCGUGGGGAGCAAACAGGAUUAAUUACCCUGGUAGUCCACGCUGUAAACGAUGUGUGCUAGAUGUUGGGUGAUUUAGUCAUUCAGUGUCGCAGUUAACGCGNNAGCACACCGC